Molecule: ribosomal RNA, 253 nt
Filed under: uncultured bacterium
Lineage: Bacteria
Description: partial 16S ribosomal RNA
Rfam family: Bacterial small subunit ribosomal RNA
Source: RNAcentral
UACGGAGGGUGCAAACGUUGCUCGGAAUCAUUGGGCGUAAAGCGCACGUAGGCGGUCUGUUAUGUCGGAUGUGAAAGCCCUUGGCUCAACUGAGGAAGUGCAUCCGAAACUGGCAGGCUAGAGUACUAAAGAGGAUCGCGGAAUUCCCGGUGUAGAGGUGAAAUUCGUAGAUAUCGGGAGGAACACCGGUGGCGAAGGCGGCGAUCUGGGUAGAUACUGACGCUGAGGUGCGAAAGCGUGGGGAGCAAACAGG